This 321-nucleotide unclassified non-coding RNA is filed under the name Hevea brasiliensis (rubber tree). The record is from RNAcentral. Lineage: Eukaryota; Viridiplantae; Streptophyta; Magnoliopsida; Malpighiales; Euphorbiaceae.
GAUGGAUGGAGGCUUGAUUUUGUUCGUGGGUUUUGGGGUGGUUAUGUGAAGGAUUACUUGGAAGCAACUGAACCUUACUUCGCUGUAGGCGAGUUUUGGGAUUCCCUCGUUUAUACUUAUGGAGAGAUGGAUCACAAUCAAGAUGCGCAUAGGCAGAGAAUUAUUGACUGGAUUAAUGCUACUAAUGGAACUGCAGGAGCAUUUGACGUGACAACGAAGGGAAUUCUUCAUUCUGCAAUUGAGAGAUGUGAAUACUGGCGACUAUCCGAUCAGAAGGGGAAACCUCCCGGCGUUGUUGGAUGGUGGCCAUCUCGUGCUGUU